CCUACGGGAGGCAGCAGUGGGGAAUAUUGCACAAUGGGGGAAACCCUGAUGCAGCGACGCCGCGUGAAGGAUGAAGGAUUUCGGUAUGUAAACUUCUAUCAGCAGGGAAGAAAAUGACGGUACGUGACUAAGAAGCCCCGGCUAACUACGUGCCAGCAGCCGCGGUCAUACGUAGGGGGGCAGCGUGAUCCGGAUUUACUGGGUGUAAAGGGAGCGUAGAGGGGGUGGCAAGUCUGAUGGGAAAACCCGGGGCUCAAACCCGGGAUUGCAUUGGAAACUGUCAGGCUAGAGUGUCGGAGAGGCAAGUGGAAUGCCUAGUGUAGCGGUGAAAUGCGUAGAUAUUAGGAGGAACACCAGUGGCGAAGGCGGCUUGCUGGACGAUGACUGACGUUGAGGCUCGAAAGCGUGGGGAGCAAACAGGAUUAGAUACCCGGGUAGUC
RNAcentral lists this ribosomal RNA (440 nucleotides) under uncultured bacterium. Its description in RNAcentral is "partial 16S ribosomal RNA". It matches the Rfam family "Bacterial small subunit ribosomal RNA", at positions 338 to 795 of the family's 1533-position model. The record is from RNAcentral.